UGGUUAAAAUUUAAUAAAACUUAUUUAUGCUACGAAUGGGCGUAGCGUCUCUACAAGACACCGUAAUGUCUAACAAUAAGUCUUUGCUCAAUGAUA
Molecule: non-coding RNA, 96 nt
Filed under: Streptococcus gallolyticus
Lineage: Bacteria; Bacillati; Bacillota; Bacilli; Lactobacillales; Streptococcaceae
Description: Guanine sequence
Rfam family: Purine riboswitch aptamer
About the family: Riboswitches are metabolite binding domains within certain messenger RNAs that serve as precision sensors for their corresponding targets. Allosteric rearrangement of mRNA structure is mediated by ligand binding, and this results in modulation of gene expression. A class of riboswitches that selectively recognises guanine and becomes saturated at concentrations as low as 5 nM.
Source: RNAcentral